Molecule: regulatory RNA element, 99 nt
Organism: Pseudomonadales bacterium
Lineage: Bacteria; Pseudomonadati; Pseudomonadota; Gammaproteobacteria; Pseudomonadales
Rfam family: Alpha operon ribosome binding site
About the family: The bacterial alpha operon ribosome binding site is surrounded by this complex pseudoknotted structure.
Source: Rfam
AAACUCUCGCGCCUUUUUCCUGACUUCCCAAGGCGUGGAAGGCUGUCAAUUGGAGUUUUUCUCAUAAUGGCCCGUAUUGCAGGCGUAAAUAUUCCAGAC